RNAcentral lists this ribosomal RNA (274 nucleotides) under uncultured bacterium. RNAcentral describes it as "partial 16S ribosomal RNA". It matches the Rfam family "Archaeal small subunit ribosomal RNA", at positions 473 to 747 of the family's 1478-position model. The record is from RNAcentral.
AAACCAGCACCUCAAGUGGUCAGGAUGAUUAUUGGGCCUAAAGCAUCCGUAGCCGGCUCUGUAAGUUUUCGGUUAAAUCUGUACGCUUAACGUACAGGCUGCUGGGAAUACUGCAGAGCUAGGGAGUGGGAGAGGUAGACGGUACUCGGGAGGAAGUGGUAAAAUGCUUUGAUCUCUCGAUGACCACCUGUGGCGAAGGCGGUCUACCAGAACACGUCCGACGGUGAGGGAUGAAAGCUGGGGGAGCAAACCGGAUUAGAUACCCCUGUAGUCC